CACGUAGGGUGCGAGCGUUGUCCGGAAUUAUUGGGCGUAAAGAGCUCGUAGGCGGCUUGUUGCGUCGACUGUGAAAACCCGCGGCUUAACCGCGGGCUUGCAGUUGAUACGGGCAGGCUAGAGUUCGGUAGGGGAGACUGGAAUUCCUGGUGUAGCGGUGAAAUGCGCAGAUAUCAGGAGGAACACCGGUGGCGAAGGCGGGUCUCUGGGCCGAUACUGACGCUGAGGAGCGAAAGCGUGGGGAGCGAACAGG
This 253-nucleotide ribosomal RNA is filed under the name uncultured bacterium. RNAcentral's name for it is "partial 16S ribosomal RNA". It matches the Rfam family "Bacterial small subunit ribosomal RNA", at positions 524 to 776 of the family's 1533-position model. The record is from RNAcentral.